UACGUAGGGUCCGAGCGUUGUCCGGAAUUAUUGGGCGUAAAGGGCUCGUAGGCGGUCCGUCACGUCGGGAGUGAAAACUCGGAGCUCAACUCCGAGCCUGCUUCCGAUACGGGCAGACUAGAGGUAGGCAGGGGAGAGCGGAACUCCUGGUGUAGCGGUGGAAUGCGCAGAUAUCAGGAGGAACACCGGUGGCGAAGGCGGAUCUCUGGGCCUUACCUGACGCUCAGGUGCGAAAGCUAGGGGAGCGAACAGG
This 253-nucleotide ribosomal RNA is filed under the name uncultured bacterium. RNAcentral's name for it is "partial 16S ribosomal RNA". It matches the Rfam family "Bacterial small subunit ribosomal RNA", at positions 524 to 776 of the family's 1533-position model. The record is from RNAcentral.